GAUGAACGCUGGCGGCGUGCCUAAUACAUGCAAGUCGAGCGAACGGACGAGAAGCUUGCUUUUCUGAUGUUAGCGGCGGACGGGUGAGUAACACGUGGAUAACCUACCUAUAAGACUGGGAUAACUUCGGGAAACAGGAGCUAAUACCGGAUAAUAUUUUGAACCGCAUGGUUCAAAAGUGAAAGACGGUCUUGCUGUCACUUAUAGAUGGAUCCGCGCUGCAUUAGCUAGUUGGUAAGGUAACGGCUUACCAAGGCAACGAUGCAUAGCCGACCUGAGAGGGUGAUCGGCCACACUGGAACUGAGACACGGUCCAGACUCCUACGGGAGGCGGCAGUAGGGAAUCUUCCGCAAUGGGCGAAAGCCUGACGGAGCAACGCCGCGUGAGUGAUGAAGGUCUUCGGAUCGUAAAACUCUGUUAUUAGGGAAGAACAUAUGUGUAAGUAACUGUGCACAUCUUGACGGUACCUAAUCAGAAAGCCACGGCUAACUACGUG
RNAcentral lists this ribosomal RNA (497 nucleotides) under uncultured bacterium. RNAcentral's name for it is "partial 16S ribosomal RNA". It matches the Rfam family "Bacterial small subunit ribosomal RNA", at positions 28 to 507 of the family's 1533-position model. The record is from RNAcentral.